AUUUCCUUGAAUCCCUUCCAUCCAGUUCUGUGCCAGAUCCUUUUUCCUUCCACCGCCCUGGCUAUUCCAAGCCCUUUUGAGAGCCAAAGUUUUUAGGACAGCAGAGCACGAAUGAAAAGGGAUCCGAAUCCCUGUUGAUGAGUUUGAGUCAAUAUAAAAUAGAAGGACAGCUGCAUUGGACCACCAAAAUUGUUCAAAGCAGUUGUUACCCAAACCCAGUUUGAAUACUGUGUCUAAUUCUCACCAUCACAUUUGAAGAAUUCAGAGAAACUGGAAUUGGUUCAUGCAAAAGGUAAUCGGGGGACUAUAAUGUGAGUCUCUUGAAGAGAAAUUGAAGGAUAUGGACAUGUUUACUUUGAGAAGUGAAAAUGGGGAACAAUUCACACAGGAAAAAAUACGUUCUUUUUGUUACAGAGCAUAGAACACAAAAUAAUGGAUUUCAUUUAAAAGAAACAGAUAACAGCUCAGUGUUAGAAAACAAAAAAAUCCCUAACAGGAACAUUUUGAUAGUAGAAUCAGAAUCCAGAAAUUGUGAGUUCCCCUUCAUUUGGUGUGUUCAGGUGGAAACAGCAUACUUAUUUGUCAGAGAGGCUUUGAUUCAGAUAAAGAACAUAGUGUUUCCUGUGUGUUACCUGAAACUGAGCUAAGAAGAAUGUGAUGUUGGCUGACAAAAUAGCAGUGGCCUAAAUUAGAAACGAACUCCAUAAUGAUUGAUAAUGUUUGGGAUAAAACAUUUUUCAAGAAUUAAGUUCAGUUUGUUGUCCUUUGUCUAGAAAGAAUUUUAGAAUGCAAACUUGUAAUACAUUCCUCCUAAUCAAAUGCACACAGUAAAAAAAAAAAUUAAGGUGAAUUUUAUAUUUUAAGACAGACAUCCAGAAACAAAAUAUAUUUGAAUUGUUAAAAAGGUUGGGUGUGGGGUAUUGAUAGCUUUCUGUAUUAAGAAUAUGUACCUAUAAUAAAAUACUAGAGGCUUUUGGAACACAUCAAUAUUAUCACAUUUUUUCUCCUGCUUCCUUUCCUUUCCUCCAUUUCUAUCACAUUU
This is a long non-coding RNA of Ahaetulla prasina, 1042 nucleotides long. RefSeq lists it as uncharacterized. NCBI's taxonomy places the organism in Eukaryota, Metazoa, Chordata, Lepidosauria, Squamata, Colubridae. The transcript is spliced from 3 exons. The record is from RefSeq and is a predicted model, not a curated record.